GACGAUCAGAUACCGUCGUAGUCUUAACUAUAAACGUUGCAAACCAGGGAUAGGACAGUGUCCGUCUCGACUCCUCCUGGACCUUGGAGAAAUUACGAGUCUAUGGGUUCUGGGGGGAGUAUGGUCGCAAGGCUGAAACUUAAAGGAAUUGACGGAAGGGCACACAAAGAGUGGAACCUGCGGCUUAAUUCGACCCAACACGGGAAAACUCACCAGGUCCGGAUACACGUAUGAAAGUCAAGCUGAAAGACUUUACUCAAUGAUGUAAGUGGUGGUGCAUGGUCGUUCUUAGUUCGUGGAUUGAUUUGUCUGGUCUAUUCCGAUAACGAGCGAGACCCCGACGUUCCUAAUAGGGGUGGCAGCCAGACCGGUCGCAAGGCCGGUUAGCUCGCCGCCUGAAGUUAUACUUCUUAGACGCAUCAGAGCCGAUAAGGUUCUUGAAAUGGGUUAAUAACAGGUCAGUCAUGCCCUUAGAUGUUCUGGGCCGCACGCGCGUUACAAUGGCAUGUA
This 510-nucleotide ribosomal RNA is filed under the name Physarum utriculare. RNAcentral describes it as "SSU rRNA". It matches the Rfam family "Eukaryotic small subunit ribosomal RNA", at positions 1003 to 1512 of the family's 1831-position model. The record is from RNAcentral. Lineage: Eukaryota; Evosea; Eumycetozoa; Physariida; Physaraceae.